This 339-nucleotide unclassified non-coding RNA is filed under the name uncultured fungus. RNAcentral's name for it is "partial contains 5.8S ribosomal RNA and internal transcribed spacer 2". The stretch from base 1 to 133 matches the Rfam family "5.8S ribosomal RNA", at positions 22 to 154 of the family's 154-position model. The record is from RNAcentral. Lineage: Eukaryota; Fungi.
UGGUUCUGGCAUCGAUGAAGAACGCAGCGAAAUGCGAUAAGUAAUGUGAAUUGCAGAAUUCAGUGAAUCAUCGAAUCUUUGAACGCACAUUGCGCCUGCCAGUAUUCUGGCAGGCAUGCCUGUCCGAGCGUCAUUUCAACCCUCAAGCCCCCGGGCUUGGUGUUGGGGACCGGCCACCGCCGCACUCUCGCGGCGGGCCGCCCCCGAAAUGCAGUGGCGGUCACGCUGCGGCACCUCCUGCGUAGUAACUCACCUCGCAUUGGGUCCGCGGCGCGGCCACGCCGUAAAACAACCCCAUUCUGAAAUGUUGACCUCGGAUCAGGUAGGGAUACCCGCUGA